GUGGGUCUCGUAUCAGGAGGCGAGGCCAGGACCCGCUGACCCAUGCCUCCUGCCGCGGUCAG
Cercocebus atys (sooty mangabey) is the source of this 62-nucleotide microRNA precursor. The record is from Ensembl. Lineage: Eukaryota; Metazoa; Chordata; Mammalia; Primates; Cercopithecidae.